Molecule: long non-coding RNA, 6210 nt
Organism: Eriocheir sinensis (Chinese mitten crab)
Lineage: Eukaryota; Metazoa; Arthropoda; Malacostraca; Decapoda; Varunidae
Exons: 2
Source: RefSeq, a predicted model, not a curated record
UAGGUUGGUAAAUGUGAUAAAUGAGAUAACCUGCACCCCUUUUAUGUCGGUAUGUGAUAAAUGAGAUAACCUACACCCCUUGCAUGUCGGUAAAUGUGAUAAAUGAGAUAACCUGAACCCCUUGUAUAUCAGUAAAUGUGAGAAAUGAGAUAACCUACACCCCUUGUAUGUCGGUAAAUGUGAGAAAUGAGAUAACCUACACCCCUUGUAUGUUGGUAAAUGUGAUAAAUGAGAUAACCUACACCCCUUGUAUGUUGGUAAAUGUGAGAAAUGAGAUAACCUACACCCCUUGUAUGUCAGUAAAUAUGAGAAAUGAGAUAACCUACACCCCUUGUAUGUUGGUAAAUGUGAGAAAUGAGAUAACCUACACCCCUUGUAUGUUGGUAAAUGUGAGAAAUGAGAUAACCUACACCCCUUGUAUGUUGGUAAAUGUGAGAAAUGAGAUAACCUACACCCCUUGUAUGUCAGUAAAUGUGAGAAAUGAGAUAACCUGCACCCCUUGUAUAUCGGUAAAUGUGAUUAAUGAGAUACCCUACACCCAUUGUAUGUCAGUAAAUGUGAUAAAUGAGGUACCCUACACCCCUUGUAUGUCAGUAAAUGUGAUAAAUGAGGUACCCUACACCCCUUGUAUGUCGGUAAAUGUGAUGAGGUAACUUUUUUUGUUUACAUCUCAGCCUAUAGCGCCGGUAGGCUUUCUUCAGAGGCCUGGUGGUCGGCCCAAGCCCGUCAUGGCACAGGCAAUUUUUAUAGUGGCGCUAGUUAUGCUUGGCUCAUGCUGCCCCCUGGAACUCAUUUUUGAUUCGCUUGUACGGUUUCUUCUAGAAUCCGGGAUGAUAGGUGGUCUUCUGGACAGCCUGUGGAUAGUCUUAGCCACUCAGUGGUGACUAAAAAAUCCCACGUGGUAGCGUGGGGAUUCGAAUCAACAUUGUCCAUGGCGUGAUGAAUGCUGCCCCCACACGCUAAUCACUCAACCACCGCCUACCCUUGUAUGUCGGUAAAUGUGAAAAAUGAGAUAACCUAAACCCCUUGUAUGUCAGUAAAUGUGAUAAAUGAGGUAACCUGAAACCUUGUAUGUCAGUAAAUGUGAUAAAUGAGAUAACCUGCACCCCUUGUAUGUCGGUAAAUGUGAUAAAUAAGAUAACUUACACCCCUUGUAUGUUGGUAAAUGUGAUAAACGAGAUAACCUACACCCUUUGUAUGUCAGUAUAUGUAAUAAAUGAGAUAACCUGCACCCCAUGUAUGUCAGUAAAUGUGAUGAAUGAGAUAACCAACACCCUUUGUAUGUCGGUAAAUGUGAUAAAUGAGAUAACCUACACCCCUUGUAUGUCGGUAUAUGUGAUAAAUGAGAUAACCUACGCUCUUCUGAUUGAUGGUCAUGUUUCUUGGAUUCUCUCCAUUUAAUGGUAGGCUAUCUGAUUUAUGGGGUCCAUGUCAUUCUUGAAUUUGGCCAUUUUCCCGUAAAAGCUGCCAUGCUGUCUUGCCGCUAUCUUGCCUGGACAAAUUACGAUAUCAACACUGUGUUUGUAAACAUUGGGUUCCGCGCAUGCGCAGAUCAGGAUGGGAUGUCUUAGGAUACGUGGAUGUCAGAUGACAUAACACCGGCGCACUUAAAAUCAAAACCUUAUUGCUUAUGUUCUUCUUGUAACUAAUUUAUUUAUGGACCAAUAUCUUUUAUUCAGAAAGCUAUUUAAUCAGGAAGGAUAGGAGAUUAAUGAUCACUAUCGCUUGUUUUUUAUAGAAUAGUAAAAAAUAUUUCCUAGAUAUCGAUGAUAAAAUAUUAAAAAGUUGUAAAAUGUUUGUGUCAAAAAUCUAAAUCAACUUCAAACAAAAGUUAAAAUAGUGAACAUGCAGUAAUUUCUUUUUCAUACUUUCAUAAACUGAAUAAAAAGAGUAGACUUAAAUAAAUGCCUAAAAUAAGAAGUUAAGAUAACAUUUUUUCUUUACCAUGUCCUUUAUACCAAAAGAAAGAGGAAAAAUAAAAAUAUUUAUAAGCAAAUAAUUAAGUUAUUACUUAUUUGAAAUUAUUACUUAAAGAACGCCUAAAAUAGGUGUUUCUUGCAAUUAUUAUUUUAAAAAAUAAUAGUAAUUAUUAUCGGGUGAUCGGAAUGGUGAUCGGAACAGCAGUAUUUAAAUAAAUGAUUGGAUGAUUGGAAUCGGAUCAGUUGCUCAAACUGAUCGGAUGAACGGGGAUCGGAACAGCAAAAAAGUGAUCAGUGCCCACUACUGAUAUAUAUAUAUAUAUAUAUAUAUAUAUAUAUAUAUAUAUAUAUAUAUAUAUAUAUAUAUAUAUAUAUAUAUAUAUAUAUAUAUAUAUAAACAAUACAAACUUGUUUCAAGGCUCUGUGUAGAGUAUUGUAGACAAUAAAUGCGAAGUACCAACUCCUCCCCACUCGCUAGCUCGAAAUUUUGUGGGCCAACUUUUUUAGCCGAAUAUAUGUUUCGAAGUGAAAUUUAGUAUCUUAUAGUAUCCACAAAAUCCUCAUACGCCUAUAAGUUCCCGAGUUACACCGAGAAAACUGUAUUUUUUUUCUCUCCUGUCAGAGUAGGCUAACAAAUAAAAAUCGCUCAAAUCUCCUCAUCUAUGUUCCUUAGAAAGGUUGCCAUAUGUUACUAUUAAGAAACUUAUCCCAACAAACGACGCUCCCAAAUUCGACGCACUUUCAUCGAAAACUUAAUUAUUAAUCACUUUUUAACUUUUAUGACGCGUUUCGCGUCAUCGCCCGCCAGGACCUUUUACCCUUUGAUGACACGAGACGCGUCAUCGUGCGUGAGAGGGUUAAUAUACUGUUUUCUUCUAAAUUCUCCACCCAUCUGUUUUUUUAUAAUUUUCUCACACAUCUUUGCUACCACACUUGUUAAUGACACUGUGUGUGUGUGUGUGUGUGUGUGUGUGUGUGUGUGUUUUGUUAUUCGAUCCAUGUGUUUAUGUGGUUGAGUCAAGAUGGGUGGGUUGGCCGCGCACGUGCAGUGGUGACAAUAACUGGCAUGGAGGAACCACAGGCAUGCCACACCCACAACUGUUUCUUCCUUCCAUUUAACUGCAGCAACAAGGCCAUAACUUAGGUGAUGGCAGCACAAGCCGUGACAGCCCUUACUUUAACAGACGACACCAUGUUGAUACAGGGCUUUGUUUACGUUGUGGAUGUGGAUAUGGGCAACCGACCUUGGCCGUGUGUGACGCACACCCAGAAAAGUUGGAGUUGCCAGUUGCCCUAGCUGGCGCCAACUCGGUGGGAAGAAAAAAGCCCUGUGUGACACCAGCUUACGGAUAACCGUGAACUCGCUCCUGGUUGGGCGUAUGGGCGUUGCCCGUAGCCCCAACGGUUGGACGAAAAUGGCCAUUGUGACACCGCCUUAAGGAAGUGAAGCCACUGAUAGGGUGAGCAUCAGCGAUGACGUCAUUGGACUCCCAGCGAAUCAUCAGCGUGUUUUUAGAACUGUCAGCCAAUCGUAACUGCAGCUUCAAAAUGACUCGUUCUCUCUCUCUCUCUCUCUCGCCAUAGCCACAAUGUUUGGAGUAAAACGUCCAGUGUGAUACUACCCUUAAAGGUAGCGUGCGUGACGCCGAUGGUAAGUAGACGUGACCCGUACGUGUCAAAGCAGCGCGAAACUCCGGGUGAUAAUGCGCGAAAGUUGGGAUGGUAAGAAUUUAGGACUAACCGCGAAACUCAUGGAUCGUGAAACUUGGAUAGCAUUAAACUCGAGAGGGUACUGUAUUCAUCACUUCUACUAUUUCACUUAUACUAUCAAAAGUUUCACCAUUAACCUUAACUUUCUGGAUCUCAUCUCUAUUUUCCAACUUUCCAUUUAUGAACUCAUAAAACAGUUUUGGCUGGUCUUUGCACUUAUUUACAAUAUUUUUCUCAAAAUUCCUUUUUUCUUCUCUUCUUCUCUUGUGUGUGUGUGUCUGUGUGUGUGUGUGUGUGUGUGUGUGUGUGUGUGUAUUUACCCAUUUGUAUUUACCUAUUUGUAGUCUACUGGGCCCGAGCUAGGCUCUAAUAGUCCCGUCUCCAUAUCGCCAUUCAUCCAUCCUUUCCUUCAUUUGUUGGACCCUGCUCGCCUCCACCACCUCUUCCCACAAGCUGUUCCAAGUGUUAACACUUCUAUGUGGAAAACUAUACUUCUUCAAGUCACUCAAACAAGUUCCUUUACAGGUAACUCUCGAUUUACGCGAGUUUGGUUUACGUGUUUUUUAAAUAACUCGGGGUCCAAAAUCCAAAUAAAUGUUUAAUUUACACAUUUUUUUCAUUUAUACACGAUAUUUUAUGGAGUGGCCACCAGAUGUCUCACGCAACUGGACUCACACGGCGCCGCAGCCACACAGCUGAGCUCAGUUCUUCCCGCGCGCCACUUGAACAACAAUACAGUACCCACACUGCCACGCUACUCAACAAUAGGGGUGGGGAGGUACCAGUACCAGUACUGCUACUAAUGGUACCAGCUAUGCGGUACAGUACCGGUACCAGACUGCUCGAUACCGGUACCCUUACUAGCCAAUCGCUCAUGGUGUCCCUCAUUUCUUCCUCACACGAGUGAGGCUGAGACUGAGUGCCUGAGUGGAUAUCUCAGUGAUAUGGGUAUUCUCUCUCUCUCUCUCUCUCUCUCUCUCUCUCUCUCUCUCUCUCUCUCUCUCUCUCUCCACUGAAUGAAGUGAAUAUUUAUUUUUCACCAUCAGUGGUCCAGUGUAACACGAUUGACUCCUUUAAAAACAAGCUCGACCGUCACUUCCUUGAACUUAAUAUUAACUAGAGUAGAAAAGCAACAUUUUGGAGCCAUCUGAUUAAUGUAAAAUCACUUAGGUUUAAGGACAGACCACCUAGUCUGGACCAUGGGGUUUGUGUGGUCUGAUUUUCUAUGUAAUUCUAUGUAAUUAUCUCUCUCUCUCUCUCUCUCUCUUCACUGAAUGAAGUGAAUAUUUAUUUUUCGAUAGAAACCUACCUCUUGUUUGAUUUACAUUGUUUUUGAUUUACGCGACCUCUUCAAGGACACAAUACUCGCAUAAAUCGAGAGUUACCUGUAUUAAGUUUCUUUCCAUGUCCUCUCAGCCCCUGCAUUCUCGCAGUUGAGAAGACAUCAUCUCUAUCCACCUCAUCAAACUUUUUUACCAACUUAUACAGCAUGAUCAGAUCUCCUCUCUCCCUUCUUUUUUAUGUGUUGUCAAGUCCACCUCCUUCAAUUUGUCUUCAUACGUCAUAUUCGAGAGUUCUGGGACCAUUUUCAUUGCAAUUCUCUGUAUUCUUUCCAACUUUCUGAUAUCCUUCUUUUUGUGAGGCGACCACACAACUGCAGCAUAUUCAAGUUUUGGUCUUAUCAAUGUUGUUAUUAUUUUCUUCAUCAUUUCUUUGUCCAUGAAAUGGAAUGCUACCCUUAUAUUUUGCAUCAUCCUGUAGGUUUCUCCAAACAACUUGUUUAUGUGCUUUUCUGGGGUUAGUGUGUCUUGCAUCUUUACUCCCAAAUCUUUUUCUUCAUGUACCACCUUUAAGUUUUCUUCUCCCAUCCUGUAUGUUUUCCUUGGUCAUUUUUUUACUUAUCCCCAUUUAGAUGACAUGGCAUUUAUUUGCAUUAAAUUCCAUCUCCCAUAACUGGGUCCAUCUAUACACCUUAUCUUGGAAUUUUUACAGAUUUUCACAGUCUUCCUUCAUCCUCACUUUUCUUAUUAACUUUGCAUCGUCUGCAAAAAGGCUGAUAUAACUUUUUAUACCCUUCGGCAUAUCAUUUAUAUAUAUUAUGAACAUUAGUGGUACCAGAACUGAGCCUUGAGGAACUCCACUCUCUACUCUCCUCCAAUUUGAUUUCUCUUCCCUAAUCACCUAAUUCCAUUUCUCUUCCUGUUAAGUAAUCCUUCAUCCACUCGAUAACCUUUCCGCCCAUUCCUCCCCACUGCUGUAGUUUCCAGAUUAACCUUUUGUGCGGAACCUUGUCAACAGCUUUGUUCAAAUCGAGAUACACGCAGUCAGCCCAUCCUUCUCUCUCUUGCACCACGUCUACUGCUCUUGAGUAGAAACAUAGUAAGUUAGUGACACAUGAUUUCCCUUUUCUAAAUCCAAACUCUCCCUUAUUUAUCAUGUUUUCCUUUUCUAAAUGUUCAGCCCAUUGGUUUUUUAUUACACUUUCACAAAUCUUGCACAUUACACUUGUUAAAGAGACAGGUGUGUGUGUGUGUGUGUGUGUGUGUGUGUGUGUGUGUGUGUGUGUGUGUGUGUAUAUAUA